RNAcentral lists this long non-coding RNA (261 nucleotides) under Medicago truncatula (barrel medic). RNAcentral describes it as "long non-coding RNA (MTRU_LNC007912)". Lineage: Eukaryota; Viridiplantae; Streptophyta; Magnoliopsida; Fabales; Fabaceae. The record is from RNAcentral.
AAAUCACUGGUCCUCUCAUGCCAUAUCUCCCUGUACUCAUUCUCUGCAAAUAAAAUCAAUCAUAUUAGCCCUUAAGUUAUAACAAAAUCCAUCAAAUUAGUCCUCAAAUUAUGACAGUAAGUCUCAAAUCGAUCCAGGACAACACAUGUAAUAGAGGGGUAUAAUUGGAAAUACGGGAAAAAUUACACUGAAAAGUUAAAUCUCGAAUUUUUACCAUUUCCAUCAAUUUAGUCCUUGUACACGUGGCAUGCAAGAGGACAC